RNAcentral lists this long non-coding RNA (1262 nucleotides) under Papio anubis (olive baboon). RNAcentral describes it as "lncRNA (ENSPANG00000042618.1)". The record is from RNAcentral. Lineage: Eukaryota; Metazoa; Chordata; Mammalia; Primates; Cercopithecidae.
GGAGGUUGCACCUUCUGAAGCCACAGUCUUAGCUAUACCUUGGCCCCUUUUAGCCACAGGUGGAUCUACAGUGGCUGGGACACAGGGUGCCAUGUCCCAAGGCUGCAUAGAGCAGCAGGGGCCCUGAGCCUGGCUCAUGAAACCAUUUUUCUCUUCUAGGCCUCUGGGCGUGUGAUGGGAGGGACUGCCAUGAAGAUCUCUGAAAUGCCCUGGAGACAUUUUCCCCAUUGUCUUGAAGCAAGUCACUAAGUCCAGUCCACACCAAAGGGGAAAAGAAUUAAGUCCCACUUCCCGGAGGAGGUGUAUCAAAGAAUUUGUGGACAUCCGUUAAAACUACCAUGUUCCCUCAGGUUCUGUCUCCUUUCCAUCUGCCCUCAGCAAAUCCAACAAGAUUCUGUCUGGUACAUCAAUGUAGUGUGGGGGAAGAAAAGAUCCUGUCUGGGUAAAGGAUCAGUGAACAGUCAUUUACACCUGAAUGUGAGUUUCAAUCCUCAUUCCUUCUGCCAGACUUUGGCUCCACUCCUUGUCUCUGAUUGUGGUGGGAAGGGCUUUAUGGCAGUGGUUCUCAGCCUCAGCAGGCCCCACAUGGCAGGUUCCUGAGCCAUGCCCUGAGAUUUGGGUUCUGCAAGUUUGGGUCAAGACCUAGAAAUCUACCUUUUAAUGAGCAAUUCAUACAGUGAAUCUGAGCCAGCUGCUCUGCUCAUGGGGCCUGGAAGAAAACUGAUUUCUGGAGUUAGUGCUUUAGGAAGAGAUGGGGGACAAGGUUAGGGUGGCCAGGGGAUCCCACUGAACUUGCACCAACACCGAGGCCCCCAGUCUUCCCAGGGCAGGUCUCCUGUGGGCAUCAGAGAAAGUCAUCACUUUGUCAACAAGAGUAACAAUUGCCGCCAUUAUUAUAAAGCCUUUUAUUCUAGCCAUCCCUUCCCAAAACCUGAGAGGGGAGGUGGGACCGUUCCUAGUCCUGAAGUAUCAAGUUGAGGCCUCUGGAAGCCACGUGAUUGGUCUCAGUCCUCCUGAAUGAUUGUAGCAGAUGGGAACCCAAGUCAAUGCAUUUCCCUGUUUGUCCCGUUGUUGAUCAUGGGACCAAUGCUGUUAGUUGCUGUUUUCACAGAGACUGGGGAGCCAAGGGAGGCUGGGUGGAGGGUGGAGGAUGGAGGAGGGAAAAGAAGGUAGGAAAUAGUCACCGGGGAGGGUGAUUGAGCCAGGGAUCUAUCAUGACAUUGCCAGGAUGCCGGGACCCACUUGGGGGGCACAAACAUGAA